Molecule: long non-coding RNA, 1431 nt
Organism: Corvus hawaiiensis (hawaiian crow)
Lineage: Eukaryota; Metazoa; Chordata; Aves; Passeriformes; Corvidae
Exons: 5
Source: RefSeq, a predicted model, not a curated record
GCGGAGAUGGAGCAGCCUCCGCACAGCAGCAGAUAAGGGAAGAUAAGGGCAGGCAGCGGGAAGCCACGAGUCACGGGGUGGGGUUUGUACGCACUUGAAGAGGAGGUUGUGCCCGGUUCCGAUGCUCCUUCAAAGCCCUAAAGGAGCAGUUAAAAUUUCAGAGGAAAUUUUUCCUUCCUCUGCAGCAUCCUCGGCGUCGCCUUUGCUCGGCAGCCUGUACCAAACACAGGGAACGAGACAAUAAAACAUGACAGGUAAAAAUUGAAUUGCAAAGCUGUCAACCUGCUGUGCUUGGACCCUACACCUUAACUGGGGUUUGGAGGGAUACAGGCUUUGUCCUACCAGACACUGCCGUGAUUUUUAGCUGCUAAUCAAGAGGAAGAGGCGGGGGCGAGAGCAAGUGGUGCAAAGAGCUGCAGAAGCCCCAGCCAAGGGGGUUCUCCUGUCCUCAGCCAUGGUGGGACCCUGGCUGGUGGCUGCUGGGGGACACUGUGCUUGCAAGUCACAGCAAGAGGUGUCUGAGCCAGCACCAGAACCCCAGAAUCCCACCAGGAACUGCUUUUCCAGGAGUUUAUGCUCAACCCAAAAGCCCAAAUCUCCAGCACUGCCCCCACAGCUCCUGCGCUCAGCCCCUGCCUUGGUCCAGCCCCAGCUGCACACGCAGCUCCAGCGGCUCUGCUCAGCAGCGAGGGAAAUGUGUGCGAGGAGAAAAAGAGAAGAAUGCAAACAAUGCAGCAGUCAGGGUGUGUUAAACCCCCCAGAACUGCCUCCAAAAUAAUGCAGCCGGUUUUGAAGGCAGCCAGCAGAGGGGUUACUCCUGCCCCGGCUCUGCGGGAGGGACCCUGCACUCACGGCGAUGCUCACGGCACAGGGACAAGGACAAGGACACGUCCGCCGGGCUGAGCCUGCGUCCUGCCCUACCUCCGGAACGGAAUGUGGCAAGGAGGAGCGUGGCCAUGGGGGAAGUCCUGAGAAGGUGGAGAAAUGGAGUGAAAAAUAAAACGGAUUGCUAAGAAUCCAUGCGGGACACUUCGGGACCUGCCGUCCUCUCCGACGGAGCUGCCCCGGGAGCAGGCACGGCACCAGUGGCGCCCGCAGUGUGCCAGGGCCACGGGCACCCCCUGCACCACCAGGGCACCGGUCACUGCAGCCCAGCCAGCCCUCGGGGCUGCUGUGCUCGGCCGGACACCACUGCCCAGCAGGAAGGACAUUUCCCACCGCCGGUGCUCUGAAGGAAUGCUCCGGAAGAUUUCACAAACUAAACGGCUGCUGGGGCUUCGGUGCAUGGAGAAGGUCAUCAUCUCUCAGGAUUUCAAGAGGCUCCUGUUUUAAGGAAGUGAAAUUUUAAACUUCAAAAUGGCAGAAAAGCCCCAUUUUCCCUGGAAAUAAUGGCAACAAAAAUUUUUCCUGGAUUUGUACCAAACUGGGUUA